This 70-nucleotide transfer RNA is filed under the name Marmota monax (woodchuck). RNAcentral describes it as "tRNA.Ala". The record is from RNAcentral. Lineage: Eukaryota; Metazoa; Chordata; Mammalia; Rodentia; Sciuridae.
GGGCUGGGGCCUAGUGGUAGAGUGCUCACCUAGCAUGUGUGAGGCACUGGGUUCAAACCUCAGCACCACA